GGGCCCAUAGCUCAGCUGGGAGAGCGCUUGCAUGGCAUGCAAGAGGUCGUCGGUUCGAUCCCGAUUGGGUCCACCA
RNAcentral lists this transfer RNA (76 nucleotides) under Micavibrio aeruginosavorus. RNAcentral describes it as "tRNA-Ala". It matches the Rfam family "tRNA". Rfam says of the family: Transfer RNA (tRNA) molecules are approximately 80 nucleotides in length. Lineage: Bacteria; Pseudomonadati; Bdellovibrionota; Bdellovibrionia; Bdellovibrionales; Pseudobdellovibrionaceae. The record is from RNAcentral. RNAcentral also lists the same sequence under 10 other names.